UGUUCUCCUGGGGAAGCUACUUACAGAAGAUAAACUGCAUUGAUUCAAUGAAACUGUUAAUGGGAGUGCAGUUUUACAGCUGGAGAUCUGGAAAGUGGCAGGGUCUUUUUGGAGAAUAGAGAAACAAAAGCUACUGAUGGUAAGGAUAGGAGUGACUUGACCUGUCUCAAGAUGGAACUCAAUUAAUUCACAACUGAAAUGAUAUAGCACAGUUGUUUGUGGCAACUGGAUGAAAGGGAGAGGCACUUUGGCGAUUAGAGCACUGAAAACUGUGGGGUACCUAGGGGUGCUUUGAAACUUGAUGUUGGAAAACCUGAACUGCACAGUAUCAACAGGAUAAUUAGAUUUAGAAAAGUUCUGGCAAUUGUGAACUUCAGUGAGAGACCGGAGUAAUGAGCAUAUAUCCCCAUCAUCAAUCUGUGUUGCCCCAUUCUUCUCCCCUGCCUUUCCCUGGCCUUCAGUAUUUGCUGCAGAAUACUAUAGAUGAAGCCUACUUCUUGUACUCCUUGCAACCCCACUGGAUUGUCUUGUCAGACGUAACUCCAUUCCCACCAUUGUCAACAGCCGGAGACAGUUCAUCAGGUUUGGAGUGAAGCAAAUCUUGAAGCUUCCAAAAAUAAGUUUCAGGUAUUAACAAUGUCCUUACAGCAGAGCCAUAGAAACCUAAUGUUGUACAUAGCUAUUGAUAACAAUUAAUUAAUAACUUAUACCUGAUAUGAAGCGAAGUUUAAAGAA
This is a non-coding RNA of Meleagris gallopavo (turkey), 735 nucleotides long. Lineage: Eukaryota; Metazoa; Chordata; Aves; Galliformes; Phasianidae. The record is from RefSeq and is a predicted model, not a curated record.